GUGACUUUAAUAGUGAAUUAGUGUUUAGAAGGUGAUGUUGUUGGUUACUUUAUUUAUUGAAAAUGCUUAAAUUUUGGUGACUUUAAUAGUGAAUUAGUUUCGUUGGUUGUUAUUAGUAGAAAAAGCUUAAGUUUUGGUGACUUUAAUAGUGAGCUAGUGUUUAGGAGGUGAUGUUGUUGGUGACUUUGUUUGUUGAAAAUGCUUAAGUGCUGGUGACUUUAAUAGUGAAUUAGUGUUUAGAAGGUGAUGUUGUUGGUUACUUGAUUUGUUGAAAAUGCUUAAGUGUCGAUGACUUUAAAAGUGAACUUUUGUUUAGAAGGUGAUGUUGUUGGUGACUUUAUUUGUUGAAAAUGCUUAAGUGACAGUGACUUUAAUAUUGAAUUAGUGUUUAGGAGGUGAUGUUGUUGGUUACUUUAUUUGUUGAAAAUGCUUAACUUUUGGUGACUUUAAAAGUGAAGUUUUGUUUAGAAGGUGAUGUUGUUGGUGACUUUAUUUGUUGAAACUUCUUGAUCUAAUUAGUUGAAUCUGAUUGAUUGCGUAGAUGGAAGAUGAUUAUAGCUGGAUAUAUCUCCGAAACAAUGAUAAUAGAAUGGGUAUUAGGGAGGAAUUUGUUGAGGGUAUCAAAAGAUUUGUUGAACAUGCUAAGACACUUGAUCUUUGGACACUUGAUCAGUUCUUUCAUUCAGAAUGGGGGGUUAUUCCUCCGUGUCCUGGUGAUGCAGUUCGGGCUGUAAAAGGUCUAGGUCCCUGGAUGAUUUCAGCACGGAUGAUGAUAUGGAAGACGAGGACGAAUAUAAUGAUGAUGACUAUUAGUUUUGUGAUUUUUGUAUGUCUUGUACAUUAAAUUUAGACAUUUUGUUGUUUAAAACUAUUGUUGUAGUAUUUUCGAACUCACUUUUGUUGGACAUUUUGUAUAUGUUGUACACUUUUGAAUUUUUUUUUUUGUUGUUGUAUUUUCAUUUUGGUUACUAGUACUCUAUAUAUUUGUUAUGGUUGCAUGCAGUAUUUGUGUUUUCAAUUUUUUUUUUUAAUUUUCAGAAAAACCGACCACAAGUGGUCGAUUUAAAUAGCUACCACUACUUUUCUGAUAAAAAUUUUGGUCGGAUUUGUGGUUGAAAAGUGGAAAAAACCGAUCAUUUGUGGUCAAUUUUUGUGGUCGAUUUUCCUUUUCUUUUAGUAGUGAUGUGUAUCUGUUUCCUUUAUCAAUUCAGGUUAAUCAAGAAUGUCGACCAAAGAAAUGAUUAAUUGCUUAAGAUGCAUCCAAUUUUGUUUGGAAUUUAAUGAACCUAGUGGUUGAGUUAUUUUUCUUUUUUAUAUAUUUUUUUUUAUAAAACGAAAAUAUAUCACUACUAGAAAUCAUUACCCCGUGAUUAAUAUAUAUUUUUUAUUAACAUUUAACUACUCCACUGUCCACAAUUUCCAUGCAAUAUGUUAAUUUUCAAAUGCCUAACCAUGUCAACACAGUAGAACCAAAUCAUAUGGUUGCUAAAAAUAUUAUAAAUUUAAUGGACUACUAUAUCAUUUUUUUUUGUUUGCUCAUUGCAUUUGAUAAGGGAAAAAAUAAAAAAAUAAAAAAAAUAAUAAACUCUUUCAUUAACUUUAGGAUAAUGAUUUAGAAUCUAAAUAAGAAAAACUACAAUAUUAAUAUUUCUCACAUACGGUGAAUGACGUCGUUGUUCCAACCCUAGCAUGUAUCAUAAUUAAGGCUUCAAAAUAUGAAAAUAACAAUGGGUUCGAUAAUUACUUAACAUACAAUAGAGUAUGAAAUGUUACGAAAGUUUUAUACUAAAUCUAACGAAAAUCAAAAUAUUCUAACAUACUUUAUAUUAUCAUGUCAAAGAAUAAUAAAUCGAAAAAAUACAAAAACAAGAGGAAACUUCGUAAUAUUAUAAUCAAGUCUUGUACAAUUACAAUAGUAAAUUAUACAAGAGAGAUUAGAGG
This 1941-nucleotide long non-coding RNA is filed under the name Capsicum annuum. RNAcentral describes it as "long non-coding RNA (CANN_LNC019945)". The record is from RNAcentral. Lineage: Eukaryota; Viridiplantae; Streptophyta; Magnoliopsida; Solanales; Solanaceae.